Molecule: ribosomal RNA, 292 nt
Filed under: uncultured bacterium
Lineage: Bacteria
Description: partial 16S ribosomal RNA
Source: RNAcentral
GGACUACUAGGGUUUCUAAUCCUGUUUGCUCCCCACGCUUUCGCGUCUCAGCGUCAGUCACUGUCCAGAAGGCCGCCUUCGCCACCGGUGUUCCUCUCGAUAUCUACGAAUUUCACCUCUACACCGAGAAUUCCGCCUUCCUCUCCAGGACUCGAGCCCCGCAGUUUCGAGUGCACUUCCUAGGUUGAGCCCAGGGCUUUCACACCCGACUUGCGGCGCCGCCUACACGCGCUUUACGCCCAGUAAUUCCGAACAACGUUUGCACCCUCUGUCUUACCGCGGCUGCUGGCAC